UACGGGGGGGGUAAGCGUUGUUCGGAAUUACUGGGCGUAAAGCGUGCGUAGGCGGUUUGUUAAGUCUGUCGUGAAAGCCCCGGGCUCAACCUGGGAAUGGCGAUGGAUACUGGCGAGCUAGAGUACGGUAGAGGAGAGUGGAAUUCCUGGUGUAGCGGUGAAAUGCGCAGAUAUCAGGAAGAACACCCGUGGCGAAGGCGGCUCUCUGGGACGGUACUGACGCUGAGACGCGAAAGCGUGGGGAGCGAACAGG
This 253-nucleotide ribosomal RNA is filed under the name uncultured bacterium. Its description in RNAcentral is "partial 16S ribosomal RNA". It matches the Rfam family "Bacterial small subunit ribosomal RNA", at positions 524 to 776 of the family's 1533-position model. The record is from RNAcentral.